GAGUUUGAUCCUGGCUCAGAUUGAACGCUGGCGGCAUGCCUUACACAUGCAAGUCGAACGGCAGCAUGAUCUAGCUUGCUAGAUUGAUGGCGAGUGGCGAACGGGUGAGUAAUACAUCGGAACGUGCCCUGUAGUGGGGGAUAACUAGUCGAAAGAUUAGCUAAUACCGCAUACGACCUGAGGGUGAAAGUGGGGGACCGCAAGGCCUCAUGCUAUAGGAGCGGCCGAUGUCUGAUUAGCUAGUUGGUGGGGUAAAGGCUCACCAAGGCGACGAUCAGUAGCUGGUCUGAGAGGACGAUCAGCCACACUGGGACUGAGACACGGCCCAGACUCCUACGGGAGGCAGCAGUGGGAAUUUUGGACAAUGGGCGAAAGCCUGAUCCAGCAAUGCCGCGUGUGUGAAG
RNAcentral lists this ribosomal RNA (404 nucleotides) under uncultured microorganism. RNAcentral describes it as "bacterial SSU rRNA". It matches the Rfam family "Bacterial small subunit ribosomal RNA", at positions 9 to 410 of the family's 1533-position model. The record is from RNAcentral.